This is an RNA transcript of Triplophysa dalaica, 4260 nucleotides long. It is a transcript of the gene named WD repeat domain 27, with no coding region annotated. The transcript is spliced from 26 exons. The record is from RefSeq and is a predicted model, not a curated record. NCBI's taxonomy places the organism in Eukaryota, Metazoa, Chordata, Actinopteri, Cypriniformes, Nemacheilidae.
UGCCUCAACGCACAAAUUAACGGAAGAUUUAAAGAAAAAACGUUUUUAUACAAAAGAAAACGAAUCCGUUUGAUUGAAUUGAGGAAAAUGAAGGGGUUUGUUGUUAGUCUAAACAGAAGCGCCUGCAAAUCAAUUAUUUUAUGAUAUAUCGUGGUCAUCAGGGAAAUCCUAUAAGAACCAUAACCCCCUGUAUUAAAAGGGACUCAAUGGCUGAUGGGAGCUCAGUUCAGUACUUUAUUGAGCGCUUCUCUGUAACUUGCAACUGGCCAGUGUCCCAUGUCCAGCUGGCAUGCUGCUCUUCUCAUUGUGCUGUUCCAUGGCAGGACAAGAACAUACGGGUUUACACCACCAACAACCUGGAGCAUCCUUUGGAACUCACCGGUCACCAUGGUAAUGUCUCUGCCAUGGUGUUGGGAACAGUGAAAGAUCGUUUGAUUCUGUGCAGUGCUUCAGAAGAGUAUGUGAUUGUCUGGGACAUAAAUCGAUGCUACAGACAAGUCAAAGAGGGUGUAAUUGCUUCAGGCAGAGUGGUCGGCACAUUGCUCGGCAGGGUUGUGCAUCUGUCCCUGUGUCCGCAGACCUCUAAAGUGGCCGCAUGCUCAGGCUCCAGAGUGUUUGUCUUGAAUGCAGAGAGGGAGGAAGUGCUCGCUGUGUUAAAGGCUCAUCUCGGUCCUGUGACUACCUCCGAGUUCUGUCCUUGGGACUUCAAUCUUCUCAUCUCAAUCUCAGAGGACCGAACAUUUAAGGUUUGGGAUGUGAAGAAGGGUGAUGUACUCUUUCAGUCUGCUGUGCUAUCAGCAUCUCCGCUGCUUAGUCUGUUCUUCAUGGAGCAAAACAGACAGCUCAUCACAGGGUCUGGUGAUGGACAGCUUUGGUGCCACACUCUCCCAGCGGACCACAAAUGUCGCUUGGUGACAAAACUGGACCUUUCUAAGCUUGAACAGAAGCUGGAAAACCUCAGGAUCAUUAACUUACCUCCAAAUGGAAGAGACGGAAUAACACAUAAUGACGUGAGAGGAACAGUGGAGACGGCAAAGCCUGUUCUGAGAAUCUGGGCUCAGGGACCAAAGUAUGGCCAUGCUAGCAUGCAUCAGAGAGGAAGUUGUGUGUGGAUUGGAAGUUCUGAUGGCCUGUAUCUGCUUGACCUGGAUACUUCAGAGCUCCUCAUUACUCUUCCGUUCAAAGGUGACCUGAGCAUAUCAAUGGCAGGGUCGCUGGCCAUCUCCCAUGGAUGUGCUGAGAAUAUAUUAUGUUUGCUGAGCUCUCUGUUUGAGUCUUCAGUUGUCCUGACGGAGGUUAAUAAUGCUCAGCUGGAUGAUCUGUUGAAAGGCUUUUCUUUGGAAGAGCAACUUUCAGUGGUGCCUAGCUCCCCUCUGGUGCCCGAGUCCCCUCUAAAUGCUGAGUUGACAAAACUAGGCCUGAAACCCAAGAAAAAAAAAGGUGGGAGCUGUCAGAAGAGCGUGAAGAAUCAGCCAUUGGUUUUUCACACGCAAGUGAAAUCAUCAGGAUACAAUGCAGCUCCUUGCAGGACCAUGUUUAAACCACAAACCAACAUUAAGAAAAAAAAAAACACUUCUUCCAAAACUAGCACGAACAAGAAAAGCCUCUUAGCAGAGUAUCCAUCACAAUGUGAAGCACCGAGUAUGUGUUCUAUUCAACUUUCAGUUUCAACAACUCAAACCACAGUCAGCUCUCUGCAGUAUUCAGGGGAUGGAAAGCACAUUUUGUGUGGUCUUGGAGACAGUUCUGUAUUAUUGUAUAACUCUUCACUCACCGGCGAUCCAGCUGUCUACACAGCAGGACACGGUAAGACGGUGAACUGUGUGUUCUGGAGUCAUAGUAAGCAGUGGUUUUUGAGUUCUUCUGAGGACCCCACCCUGUGCAUCUGGACUCCAAGUGUUGCUGAACCUGUUCUGACCAUGGGAUGUGACCAGUUUGCAAAGCCCAUCAGAGGUGCUCAGUUUUAUUAUCUUGAUAAGUUUUUACUGCUGGCAUCGGGAUCAGAUCUACUGCUGUACCUUUACCAUCUGGACACCACGAGAGAUGACAUCAAGAGGUAUAAGGAUAGAAGCAAGUCUAAGCUGACCGGAAAAUUUUAUAUGAAGACAGGAACAGACAUCACCUCAAUUUCAGCGAUCAAUGACUUCUACUCCUAUAUUGUGUUGGCUGCUGGCGCUGACCGCACCAUCCAGGUGUUUGAUAUGAACCACGGCUGUGUGGCCACUCAGAUUCCAGACGCCCACAGUCGGGCUGUCCAUCACCUCGCCCAAAACAAGGGGUCCCUUUUCUGUUCACAGACCCCAGAAUCAUACAAUCUCUUCCUAAGCAGUGCUGUGACAGACGGUCUUAAAAUGUGGGACCUACGUAGUGCAAGAUGUGUCCGUCGCUACGAGAGCCACGUGAACCGUUGUCAUCAGUGCACCGCUACCUUCUCACCCUGCGGUCGCUUUAUAGCUACUGGCUCAGAGGACCAUUCUGCUUAUAUAUAUGAUACACGCAACAGCGGGUUUCUUCAUAAACUCCAGAGACAUUCCGAUACAGUUCUAAAUGUGCUGUUCAACCCUGCCAAUCCAGAGGAAUAACGGACACGCUCUCUCUCUAGGAGGCCGAAGAUAGAAGAAAUGGUACGCCGCCUCACGGAGGUAGCCGUCCGCCAGCAACAGUGUUUCGACCAGAUGGUGGCCAGACAAGAGCGAUCUGAUCAGGCACUGGAACAGCUACAGACGACCACACUGCAGAGUUCGCGGUCGGAACCCCGUCACCAAGCGUCCCUGCUGUUGACAAAAAUGAGCGCCCAGGAUGAAGUCGAAGCAUACCUGCACACGUUCGAGAGUCAAGCGAGUGAAGCGAGGAGGACUUUAUUGCACGAGCACGGACUGGCAGUUUCCUGAUUUCAAGCACCCGGGUUUUCACAUUGUGGAUUAUUGGUUCAAUAUUGUAAUAAAUUCCCCCUCCGGGGUUGAUUCAUCUGCCGUCUUGUGUCCGUUGUGUCUCUAGCCGGGCCACAGAUGUUUUACAGACCAGAUCAUAUGUUCUAAGCACUAUUCUGCUUUUCAAAUGUCUCCAAAAUGUCUUUCAAGAUAUUUGAAUUGUGUUGAUAAAGACAGGUAUGUGAGUGUCCUCAGAUCCCAGUCCAUAUUGUUGCAAAGACAGUUUUAUGUCACUCUUUAAAAUCUGACUGAACAGCAUCCAGUCUAUGACAAACCAGUGAGGUCAAUCUUGUUAUCUCGGUCUAUAUCCCUUCCAGGCACCAUGUGACAGUUGGUUUCUCUUCCCUGGGUGUCACUUGCGAGGCCUUGCUUCUGAUUUGUGCUUAUCACAAAAUCGAAAGACAUUCACUGUCAAUAGAAAUUCCCUGAGGUGACAGGAAUUCCAGUAAUCCAAGUUCCUAUUAAAUGGGGUCUCAUAACUAAAGCUAAUUCUCUUCAGGAGAGCACAAUUCAAAGAGCAGAACAUAAAAGUUUCAGAACAAUUUUAUUAGUGAAAAUAAAUAAAUGAAAACCAUCAACUUUGUUAGUUCAUCAUACGGACAACAGAUGUGUUGUUAUGAAAUGUACUGUUUUUACAUUGUGGUUUUAUGGCAAUGCUCGAUUAGAAAAUUGCCCGAGCUAUGCUGUCGAUUACAUAAACCAACACAGAAGAUGCAUUUUAGGAAGUAAUAACUGCAAACAAGCACGUAUUUGCAUAUAUAUGAUUCUUUUAUCAUCUUUUUAUCCAAGAUCCAGGAUGUUUUAUAACUGACGGUUUUUUUUCACAGCUGUUGACUGGAACACUAAAUGGAAUGCUGGCUUUGUUUCAUUCGGUCGACUCUUCGCUUCUGUCUUAAGCUUGGGAUCUAUGCACUACAACCCCAAAGGAUCGGUGCUUUCUCAUGUCUGCUCUCUGCCUAAUGAGAUUCUUACAUCAGCGAGAUUACUGUACUGACGUGCCACCUCUGUGGGACCUACAUCAUGGACAGGAUCUGUGAUUUCAUCGGUCCAGCGGCCAUUGAAAACCUACAGAUGUGACAACAUGCUCACGCCCUGAACCCUCGAGCCAAAGACGCACCCUCGGAGAAAAGUUCAAGUGAAUUUAUGUAGUUCAGCAACACGUUUGUAUGGUGACAAAGAUACGUUCAUAUAUUGAUGUGUAUAAUGUUUAAGCGCCUUCAUCUUGUAUAAGCGGAUUGAUUUGAUAUCAAAUGUUAAUAUGUUUUAUAAUGUGCAUGAACUCAUCCUGAUACUUUUUACCAGCAUGUAAAAUAAAACAGAUUUUCAGCAA